Molecule: ribosomal RNA, 497 nt
Filed under: uncultured bacterium
Lineage: Bacteria
Description: partial 16S ribosomal RNA
Rfam family: Bacterial small subunit ribosomal RNA
Source: RNAcentral
GAUGAACGCUGGCGGCGUGCCUAAUACAUGCAAGUCGAGCGAACAGACGAGGAGCUUGCUUCUCUGACGUUAGCGGCGGACGUGAGAGUAACACGUGGAUAACCUCCCUAUCAGACUGGGAUCACUUCGAGAAACCGGAUCUAAUCCCGGAUAAUAUAUUGCACCGCAUUGUUCAUUAGUAAAAGACGGUUUUGCUGUCACUACUCGCUGGAUCCGCGCCGCAUUAGCUAGUUGGUACGUUACAGGCUUACCAAGGCUACGAUGCGUAGCCGACCUGAGAGGGUGAUAGGCCGCAUGGGAACUGAGCCGGGGACCAGACUCCUACGAGAGGCAGCAGUAGGGAAUCUGACGCAGUAGUCGAAAGCAUUGCGGAAUGAGGCCGCGUAAGUGAUGAAGGUCUUCGGUGCGUAAAGACGUGUUAUGAGGGAAGAACAAAUGUGUAAGGAACUGUGGACGGAGUGACGGUACCUAAUCAGAAAGCAACGGCUAACUACGUG